Molecule: ribosomal RNA, 497 nt
Filed under: uncultured bacterium
Lineage: Bacteria
Description: partial 16S ribosomal RNA
Rfam family: Bacterial small subunit ribosomal RNA
Source: RNAcentral
GAUGAACGCUGGCGGCGUGCCUAAUACAUGCAAGUCGAGCGAACAGACGAGGAGCUUGCUCCUCUGACGUUAGCGGCGGACGGGUGAGUAACACGUGGAUAACCUACCUAUAAGACUGUGAUAACUUCGGGAAACCGGAGCUAAUACCGGAUAAUAUAUUGAACCGCAUGGUUCAAUAUUGAAAGACGGUUUUGCUGUCACUUAUAGAUGGAUCCGCGCCGCAUUAGCUAGUUGGUAAGGUAACGGCUUACCAAGGCAACGAUGCGUAGCCGACCUGAGAGGGUGAUCGGCCACACUGGAACUGAGACACGGUCCAGACUCCUACGGGAGGCAGCAGUAGGGAAUCUUCCGAAAUGGGCGAAAGCCUGACGGAGCAACGCCGCGUGAGUGAUGAAGGUCUUCGGAUCGUAAAACUCUGUUAUUAGGGAAGAACAAAUGUGUAAGUAACUAUGCACGUCUUGACGGUACCUAAUCAGAAAGCCACGGCUAACUACGUG